This is a non-coding RNA of Macaca mulatta (Rhesus monkey), 1745 nucleotides long. Lineage: Eukaryota; Metazoa; Chordata; Mammalia; Primates; Cercopithecidae. The record is from RefSeq and is a predicted model, not a curated record.
ACCUCUCCGCGUCCCGCUGGCCUCUUCGGAUGGAUUGCGCCUCUCCACACCGUGACUAACAGCACUCCCAUUCUGCUCUCCUGAGAAAGGGCCACGGGGCUCAGCCGGACAUGACACAGACGGCUCCUGGGAGGCUGCUGCAAGGGGGAGCAAGGGCAAGGGCACGGGGAGGAGGAAGGGCCCGGGCACUGGGCACCACUGGGCCCAAUAUCUGACACAGGCGGGAAGCUGAGAUGGGGAGAGGGCAGGAUGCCACAUGCGGUCCCCGUCUUUUCAAGAGUGAUAGUGACAGUGAGAGCUGCCAUUGGAUAGGUGCCAAGAGAGGGUUUGUGUUUCCCAGGCUUCAUCUUGCUCCAGUCAUGGGAAGUAGAGUAUUACCGUCCCCACUUUACAGAUGAGGAAACUGAGGCUCAGGAAGGACAAGUGACUAGUGCAAGAUCACAGAACAAAUAAUGGAACCAGGGCUCAGCCUGGGGCUGGGCAUCCUUGGAGCCAACGUUCUUGGCUAUUGUAUCCAGAGAGAAUCCAUUCUGCUUUUGGGUGGGGGACCUCUUGCCACCUUCCUUCUUUAGCAGGGCUGUAGCUGAACCUUCCUCGUUGGUGUGCUCUUGUACAGGGAAGCUUCACUUUCUGCCUGUUUGUUUGUGUGUGUGCCACAUGUUUGAGUAUCCCUCUGCAGCUGGCCAUUGUGGGGGGUUGAAGGCCACUGCAGCCUCAGUCCAAGAUCAGGAGGUCAGGAGCUCCAUGGUGAGCACAGGAAGUCCGUCUUUGGAAUUUGCGAGACUGUGUGUCCCAGGGGUUGACUUGGGGGUAUCCUGGAACUCCAAGUUAACGGCCCCAUCCUCUUUCCUCCACCAAGUCCUGCUCCUGCCACUGGAGCAAUGAUGCGCCAGGGCCCGAGGCAAAACAUCUGGGGACUUCGUGGAAGAGUAAAAGGACUCUUUUCUUUUCUGCUUUUGUUCAUUUCCUCAGAAUCACGUUCAGCUCCUGGAGAAGAGGGUGGAGCUUAGAAAGAUUUGGAGCUGAGUCCAGGCUCCACCAGUGGCCAGCAGUAUGACCUUGAACAAGUCCUGAACCUUCUUAAGGCUUGAGUUCCUCACUUGCACAAUUCCUAAACCAACUCAUAGAGACAUGAGGCUUAGAUGCCAUCGUGUGGGUGAAGUAUCCGAAAGUGAACCUGCUACCUGGUUGAGACCAAGGUGAAACACUUUUAGCAAAGCUUGCUGGAGAGAGGACAGGAAGCAGUGGAGUUGGGUGCCAGGCAUGUGGUCUAUCUGUGGUCUUGAUACUCUACCGCAGAAGAUUGUAACCACAAUGGUGAUAAUGAACAUUAUUAUGAUUCCCAUUUUGUGGAUGAGUCAAAGAAGAUCAAAGAUCCUGCCAGUGUCACAUAGUUAGGAUAUGGAGCUUCUGGAUACAAACCCAGGCUGUCUGGGAGGCCCUGAAGAGACUGAAUGGGAGAGUGUGACUGCUCCCUGCAAGCCCUCCCCAUGUCUGGACUAAGGAAAUAGCUCGAAGCACCAUCCCUCUCCUGGGAGCAGCAGCAGCGUCCAGAAUGGGGAAACUGAGGCUGAGGAGGGUAGCAGCUUGCAUGAGGCAAUGUAAAGAGCUAACACCCAGCCGGGGCUGGAACCCGGCUCUCCUGCUUCUGCCCAGCAGUGCCCAGGUGCCUCCUCUCCCGCCCUGUCUCUCCCCUUACUCCUAGCCCCCUCCCCCUAUUCCACCCCAACUGUGGGAGCUAGCGG